CAUUAGAUGGCUGAAGGCAAGUAAUGGUCUCUUAAACCAAAAAAUAGUAAACUAGCAAUUACUUCUAAUGA
Molecule: transfer RNA, 71 nt
Filed under: Geoscapheus dilatatus
Lineage: Eukaryota; Metazoa; Arthropoda; Insecta; Blattodea; Blaberidae
Description: tRNA-Lys
Source: RNAcentral